Molecule: ribosomal RNA, 440 nt
Filed under: uncultured bacterium
Lineage: Bacteria
Description: partial 16S ribosomal RNA
Rfam family: Bacterial small subunit ribosomal RNA
Source: RNAcentral
CCUACGGGAGGCAGCAGUGGGGAAUAUUGCACAAUGGGGGAAACCCUGAUGCAGCGACGCCGCGUGAGUGAAGAAGUCUUUCGGUACGUAAAGCUCUAUCCGCAGGGAAGAAAAUGACGGUACCUGACUAAGAAGCCCCGGCUAACUACGUGCCAGCCGCCGCGGUAAUACGUAGGGGGCAAGCGUUAUCCGGAUUUACUGGGUGUAAAGGGAGCGUAGACGGCAGCGAAAGUCUGGAGUGAAAUCCCAUGGCUUAACCAUGGAACUGCUUUGGAAACUGUGCAGCUAGAGUGCAGGAGAGGUAAGCGGAAUUCCUAGUGUAGCGGUGAAAUGCGUAGAUAUUAGGAGGAACACCAGUGGCGAAGGCGGCUUACUGGACUGUAACUGACGUUGAGGCGCGAAAGCGUGGGGAGCAAACAGGAUUAGAUACCCCAGUAGUC